ACGCGCAGCGAAAGGUGCUUGCACCUUUCAAGCGAGUGGCGAACGGGUGAGUAACACGUGGAUAACCUGCCUCAAGGCUGGGGAUAACAUUUGGAAACAGAUGCUAAUACCGAAUAAAACUUAGUAUCGCAUGAUACAAAGUUGAAAGGCGCUACGGCGUCACCUAGAGAUGGGUCCGCGGUGCAUUAGUUAGUUGGUGGGGUAAAGGCCUACCAAGACAAUGAUGCAUAGCCGAGUUGAGAGACUGAUCGGCCACAUUGGGACUGAGACACGGCCCAAACUCCUACGGGAGGCUGCAGUAGGGAAUCUUCCACAAUGGGCGAAAGCCUGAUGGAGCAACGCCGCGUGUGUGAUGAAGGCUUUAGGGUCGUAAAGCACUGUUGUAUGGGAAGAAAUGCUAGAAUAGGGAAUGAUUCUAGUUCGACGGUACCAUACCAGAAAGGGACGGCUAAAUACGUGCCAGCAGCCGCGGUAAUACGUAUGUCCCGAGCGUUAUCCGGAUUUAUUGGGCGUAAAGCGAGCGCAGACGGUUGAUUAAGUCUGAUGUGAAAGCCCGGAGCUCAACUCCGGAAUGGCAUUGGAAACUGGUUAACUUGAGUGUUGUAGAGGUAAGUGGAACUCCAUGUGUAGCGGUGGAAUGCGUAGAUAUAUGGAAGAACACCAGUGGCGAAGGCGGCUUACUGGACAACAACUGACGUUGAGGCUCGAAAGUGUGGGUAGCAAACAGGAUUAGAUACCCUGGUAGUCCACACCGUAAACGAUGAAUACUAGGUGUUAGGAGGUUUCCGCCUCUUAGUGCCGAAGCUAACGCAUUAAGUAUUCCGCCUGGGGAGUACGACCGCAAGGUUGAAACUCAAGGAAUUGACGGGGACCCGCACAAGCGGUGGAGCAUGUGGUUUAAUUCGAAGCACGCGAAGAACCUUACCAGGUCUUGACAUCCUUUGAAGCUUUUAGAGAUAG
Molecule: ribosomal RNA, 960 nt
Filed under: Leuconostoc lactis
Lineage: Bacteria; Bacillati; Bacillota; Bacilli; Lactobacillales; Lactobacillaceae
Description: bacterial SSU rRNA
Rfam family: Bacterial small subunit ribosomal RNA
Source: RNAcentral